GCAGACUCGACAAUGGGCUGCGUGGACACACCAAGAGGAGAUUUUUUUUCAAUGCGUUGCGGCAAGUAGGAAAAAACUUUGACAAGAUUACACACCGUGUUCAGAGUAAAAACAAGGAUCAGGUCAGGCAUUACUAUUAUCGUCUUGUUCGGCGCAUGAAGAAGCUACUAGGUCCUAGGUUCUCACUUGAUGCAAAAAACUCCAAGGACACCAUUGCUACUAUGCUUCACUG
Zea mays is the source of this 232-nucleotide long non-coding RNA. RefSeq lists it as uncharacterized. The transcript is spliced from 3 exons. The record is from RefSeq and is a predicted model, not a curated record. Lineage: Eukaryota; Viridiplantae; Streptophyta; Magnoliopsida; Poales; Poaceae.